This 896-nucleotide ribosomal RNA is filed under the name uncultured beta proteobacterium. RNAcentral's name for it is "bacterial SSU rRNA". It matches the Rfam family "Bacterial small subunit ribosomal RNA", at positions 60 to 968 of the family's 1533-position model. Lineage: Bacteria; Pseudomonadati; Pseudomonadota; Betaproteobacteria. The record is from RNAcentral.
AGUCGAACGCGAAAGGGGGCAACCCUGAGUAGAGUGGCGAACGGGUGAGUAAUGCAUCGGAACGUGUUCUGUAGCGGGGGACAACCCCGAGAAAUCGGGGCUAAUACCGCAUACGUCCUACGGGAGAAAGUGGGGACCGCGAGGCCUCACACUAUAGGGGCGGCCGAUGCCGGAUUAGCUAGUUGGUGAGGUAAGAGCUCACCAAGGCGACGAUCCGUAGCUGGUCUGAGAGGAUGAUCAGCCACACUGGGACCGAGACACAGCCCAGACUCCUACGGGAGGCAGCAGUGGGGAAUUUUGGACAAUGGGCGCAAGCCUGAUCCAGCCAUGCCGCGUGAGUGAAGAAGGCCUUCGGGUUGUAAAGCUCUUUCGGCCGGGACGAAAUCGCUUUCGCUAAUAUCGGGAGUGGAUGACGGUACCGGAAUAAGAAGCACCGGCUAACUACGUGCCAGCAGCCGCGGUAAUACGUAGGGUGCGAGCGUUAAUCGGAAUUACUGGGCGUAAAGCGUGCGCAGGCGGUUUCGCAAGUCAGAUGUGAAAGCCCCGGGCUUAACCUGGGAACUGCGUUUGAAACUACGAAGCUAGAGUACGGCAGAGGGAGGUGGAAUUCCAAGUGUAGCAGUGAAAUGCGUAGAUAUUUGGAGGAACACCGAUGGCGAAGCAGCCUCCUGGGCUAGUACUGACGCUCAUGCACGAAAGCGUGGGGAGCAAACAGGAUUAGAUACCCUGUAGUCCACGCCCUAAACGAUGGCAACUAGUUGUUGGGGAUACAUCCUUAGUAACGCAGCUAACGCGUGAAGUUGCCCGCCUGGGGAGUACGGUCGCAAGAUAAAACUCAAAAAUUGACGGGGGCCCGCACAAGCGGGGGAGUGGUUUAAUUCAUGCAACGCGAAAAA